Molecule: transfer RNA, 137 nt
Filed under: Oscillospiraceae bacterium
Lineage: Bacteria; Bacillati; Bacillota; Clostridia; Eubacteriales; Oscillospiraceae
Description: tRNA-Lys
Rfam family: tRNA
About the family: Transfer RNA (tRNA) molecules are approximately 80 nucleotides in length. Their secondary structure includes four short double-helical elements and three loops (D, anti-codon, and T loops).
Source: RNAcentral
GCGGACAUAGCUCAGCUGGUAGAGCAGCGCCCUUUUAAGGCGUGGGUCGGGGGUUCGAUUAUAUUAGGGUAUGAUUGCCACCGGCAAUCAUCGGUAUUGUUCAUUCGCUGCGCGGAGCCUCCCCUCUGUCAGCACCA